GCUUAACCGGAGAAGUGCAUCGGAAACUGGAUAACUUGAGUGCAGAAGAGGACAGUGGAACUCCAUGUGUAGCGGUGGAAUGCGUAGAUAUAUGGAAGAACACCAGUGGCGAAGGCGGCUGUCUAGUCUGUAACUGACGCUGAGGCUCGAAAGCAUGGGUAGCGAACAGGAUUAGAUACCCUGGUAGUCCAUGCCGUAAACGAUGAGUGCUAAGUGUUGGAGGGUUUCCGCCCUUCAGUGCUGCAGCUAACGCAUUAAGCACUCAGCCUGGGGAGUACGACCGCAAGGUUGAAACUCAAAGGAAUUGACGGGGGCCCGCACAAGCGGUGGAGCAUGUGGUUUAAUUCGAAGCUACGCGAAGAACCUUACCAGGUCUUGACAUCUUCUGCCAAUCUUAGAGAUAAGACGUUCCCUUCGGGGACAGAAUGACAGGUGGUGCAUGGUUGUCGUCAGCUCGUGUCGUGAGAUGUUGGGUUAAGUCCCGCAACGAGCGCAACCCUUAUUAUCAGUUGCCAGCAUUCAGUUGGGCACUCUGGUGAGACUGCCGGUGACAAACCGGAGGAAGGUGGGCAUGACGUCAAAUCAUCAUGCCCCUUAUGACCUGGGCUACACACGUGCUACAAUGGACGGUACAACG
Molecule: ribosomal RNA, 637 nt
Filed under: uncultured bacterium
Lineage: Bacteria
Description: bacterial SSU rRNA
Rfam family: Bacterial small subunit ribosomal RNA
Source: RNAcentral